AUUGAACGCUGGCGGCAUGCCUUACACAUGCAAGUCGAACGGUAACAGGUUUUCGGCUGCUUACGAGUGGCGAACGGGAGAGUAAUAGAUCGGAACGGGCCCGAUUGUGGGGGAUAACGCAGCGAAAGGUGUGCUAAUUCACCAUACGACCUAAUACGGCAUGCGGGUGAACGCAAGACCUCGUCCGAGCGGAGGGGCCGAUGGGAGAUUAGGUAGGUGGUGGGAUAAAAGCUGACCAAGCCGACGAUCGGUAGCUGGUCUGAGAGGACGACCAGCCACACUGGGACUGAGACACGGCCCAGACUCCUACGGGAGGCAGCAGUGGGGAAUUUUGGACAAUGGGCGCAAGCCUGAUCCAGCCAUGCCGCGUGCGGGAUGAAGGCCUUCGGGUUGUAAACUGCUUUUGUACGGAAAGAAAAAGCUCUCUCUAAUACAGGGGGUGACUGACGGUACCGUAAGAAUAAGCACCGGCUAACUACGUG
This 482-nucleotide ribosomal RNA is filed under the name uncultured bacterium. RNAcentral describes it as "partial 16S ribosomal RNA". It matches the Rfam family "Bacterial small subunit ribosomal RNA", at positions 30 to 507 of the family's 1533-position model. The record is from RNAcentral.